Non-coding RNA from Pelodiscus sinensis (Chinese soft-shelled turtle), 399 nucleotides. The record is from RefSeq and is a predicted model, not a curated record. NCBI's taxonomy places the organism in Eukaryota, Metazoa, Chordata, Testudines, Trionychidae.
CAUGGAAGGUCUUUAGCAAGUGCACGCUUGGGAGCUGAGUUCCUGUUGCUUGGAGUACUCUCCCAGGAGGAGAAGAGUAGCCACAGUUGAUGGAAGAGCAGCCUCACUGACCUUACCAUAUGGAAGACACCGCGCUCACGAGGUUCUUAAAGAUUGCCGGUCUAAGCUACACGAAUAGGAACAGUGCCUGAAUCACCAUUCAGUUGAUUGGAGAUCACUGGAGUGCAGCAAUUCCCUGCACUGCCAAAGGAUCGCUGGGAAAGAGGAAGCAAGGGGAACAAGAUUUAAGGGGGGAUAGCUCUGUGAGAGAAUUAUGAUUUACUGGCUACUUCGCAAGUGUUAGGUGACUCGCUCUCAGUCAAAUGAAGAUUGAGCUAAAAAAUCCCAUUGACUGUCUAG